CCUACGGGAGGCAGCAGUGGGGAAUAUUGCACAAUGGGGGAAACCCUGAUGCAGCGACGCCGCGUGAGUGAAGAAGUAUUUCGGUACGUAAAGCUCUAUCAGCAGGGAAAAAAAUGACGGUACCUGACUAAGAAGCCCCGGCUAACUACGUGCCAGCAGCCGCGGUAAUACGUAGGGGGCAAGCGUUAUCCGGAUUUACUGGGUGUAAAGGGAGCGUAGACGGCAGCGCAAGUCUGGAGUGAAAUCCCAUGGCUUAACCAUGGAACUGCUUUGGAAACUGUGCAGCUAGAGUGCAGGAGAGGUAAGCGGAAUUCCUAGUGUAGCGGUGAAAUGCGUAGAUAUUAGGAGGAACACCAGUGGCGAAGGCGGCUUACUGGACUGUAACUGACGUUGAGGCUCGAAAGCGUGGGGAGCAAACAGGAUUAGAUACCCGGGUAGUC
RNAcentral lists this ribosomal RNA (440 nucleotides) under uncultured bacterium. RNAcentral describes it as "partial 16S ribosomal RNA". It matches the Rfam family "Bacterial small subunit ribosomal RNA", at positions 338 to 795 of the family's 1533-position model. The record is from RNAcentral.